GACGAACGCUGGCGGCGUGCUUAACACAUGCAAGUCGAACGGAAAGGCCCUGCUUUUGUGGGGUGCUCGAGUGGCGAACGGGUGAGUAACACGUGAGUAACCUGCCCUUGACUUUGGGAUAACUUCAGGAAACUGGGGCUAAUACCGGAUAGGAGCUCCUGCUGCAUGGUGGGGGUUGGAAAGUUUCGGCGGUUGGGGAUGGACUCGCGGCUUAUCAGCUUGUUGGUGGGGUAGUGGCUUACCAAGGCUUUGACGGGUAGCCGGCCUGAGAGGGUGACCGGCCACAUUGGGACUGAGAUACGGACCAGAAUCCUACGGGAGGCAGCAGGGGGGAAUAUGGCACAAUGGGCGGAAGCCUGAUGCAGAAACGCCGCGUGCGGGAUGACGGCCUUCGGGUUGUAAACCGCUUUCGCAUGUGACGAAGCGCGAGUGACGGUAAUGGGUAAAGAAGCACCGGCUAACUACGUG
RNAcentral lists this ribosomal RNA (468 nucleotides) under uncultured bacterium. Its description in RNAcentral is "partial 16S ribosomal RNA". It matches the Rfam family "Bacterial small subunit ribosomal RNA", at positions 28 to 507 of the family's 1533-position model. The record is from RNAcentral.